Non-coding RNA from Idiomarina sp., 183 nucleotides. Lineage: Bacteria; Pseudomonadati; Pseudomonadota; Gammaproteobacteria; Alteromonadales; Idiomarinaceae. The record is from Rfam.
GAUCGCCUGGGAUGUGCGCCAGCACGCUAAUGUCCCUGAGCCGAUGUCAUCAGUAAAGGGGCUCACUGACCGGCUAUUGUGCAAGCUCGACCUGUAUCGAGAAGCCUACGGCCGUGAAUUUGCGCCCCGCCUUGAACCAGUGGGUUCAAGGGCCAAGGCACGCAGCGGCAUCUCGGGUGAUCA